Long non-coding RNA from Cloeon dipterum, 584 nucleotides. RefSeq lists it as uncharacterized. NCBI's taxonomy places the organism in Eukaryota, Metazoa, Arthropoda, Insecta, Ephemeroptera, Baetidae. The transcript is spliced from 3 exons. The record is from RefSeq and is a predicted model, not a curated record.
UUGAUGUGUUGGACUACAGCACAAUGCCUAGCUGGCUUUUACGGCCAACAUUUGGAAGCAACUGCUUUUCCAUGGUGACGGUAGCUCGUUGUUCACAUCUGGAAAUUCGUCCGCUUGCAACAGUUUAGCAGAAAAACGGAUGUAGAGAUAAAAUGGGCAAGCCGUCUCUCGCAUUGCUGGCUCUUCUGUUUCUUCUCGUGUUUCUGCAUAUGGGCUCUAGUGAAUCCAAAAAAGUUGUGAAGGCAAAGAUCAAAGGAAUACAGGUGAACAGCAUCGUUACCCCAAAGAUUGUAGUGAAAUCGAAGAAUACCAAGAAAACGAAGAAAACGAAUAACAAACUGUCGUCCUUUAUCUUUCCAACCAAAAAACGGACAACCAAGGCGAUUCAAACCACGGCAAAGGGUGCUGCAAAUAACCCCACUACCGCCGCCGCCGCCGAUGCCGCUGACACGGCAGCGUAUUAGGGAAUAUUUGUAACACAAAAAAUGUACACCUUAUAAAAAUGGUGCUACGAAUUUCUGGUUUGGCAUUAUUGCAAUGUAUUGGCUUGGUUAAAUAAUUACAAAUUAUUGGAAUUUUAUCAA